GAUGAACGCUGGCGGCGUGCCUAAUACAUGCAAGUCGAGCGAACGGGCGAGAAGCUUGCUUCUCUGAUGUUAGCGGCGGACGGGUGAGUAACACGUGGAUAACCUACCUAUAAGACUGGGAUAACUUCGGGAAACCGGAGCUAAUACCGGAUGAUAUUUUGAACCGCAUGGUUCAAAAGUGAAAGACGGUCUUGCUGUCACUUAUAGAUGGAUCCGCGCUGCAUUAGCUAGUUGGUAAGGUAACGGCUUACCAAGGCAACGAUGCAUAGCCGACCUGAGAGGGUGAUCGGCCACACUGGAACUGAGACACGGUCCAGACUCCUACGGGAGGCAGCAGUAGGGAAUCGUCCGCAAUGGGCGAAAGCCUGACGGAGCAACGCCGCGUGAGUGAUGAAGGUCUUCGGAUCGUAAAACUCUGUUAUUAGGGAAGAACAUAUGUGUAAGUAACUGUGCACAUCUUGACGGUACCUAAUCAGAAAGCCACGGCUAACUACGUG
This 497-nucleotide ribosomal RNA is filed under the name uncultured bacterium. RNAcentral describes it as "partial 16S ribosomal RNA". It matches the Rfam family "Bacterial small subunit ribosomal RNA", at positions 28 to 507 of the family's 1533-position model. The record is from RNAcentral.